GAUGAACGCUAGCGGCAGGCUUAAUACAUGCAAGUCGUACGGGAUCCGAGGUAGCAAUACUUUGGUGAGAGUGGCGCACGGGUGCGUAACACGUAUGCAACCUACCUAUAACCGGGACACAACCUCGAGAAAUUGAGGCUAAUAUCCCAUAACACUGCGAGAUGGCAUCAUUUUGCAGUUAAAACUCCGGUGGUUAUAGAUGGGCAUGCGCGACAUUAGCUAGUUGGUGAGGUAACGGCCCACCAAGGCUACGAUGUCUAGGGGUUCUGAGAGGAUUAUCCCCCACACUGGUACUGAGACACGGACCAGACUCCUACGGGAGGCAGCAGUAAGGAAUAUUGGUCAAUGGGCGCAAGCCUGAACCAGCCAUGCCGCGUGAAGGAUGACGGCCCUAUGGGUUGUAAACUUCUUUUGUACGGGAAAAAACCUCUGGUCGAGAAUCAGAGCUGAUGGUACCGUAAGAAUAAGCAUCGGCUAACUCCGUGCCAGCAGCCGCGGUAAU
RNAcentral lists this ribosomal RNA (502 nucleotides) under uncultured bacterium. Its description in RNAcentral is "bacterial SSU rRNA". It matches the Rfam family "Bacterial small subunit ribosomal RNA", at positions 28 to 524 of the family's 1533-position model. The record is from RNAcentral.